AUACGUAGGUGGCAAGCGUUGUCCGGAAUUAUUGGGCGUAAAGCGCGCGCAGGUGGUUCCUUAAGUCUGAUGUGAAAGCCCCCGGCUCAACCGGGGAGGGUCAUUGGAAACUGGGGAACUUGAGUGCAGAAGAGGAUAGUGGAAUUCCAAGUGUAGCGGUGAAAUGCGUAGAGAUUUGGAGGAACACCAGUGGCGAAGGCGACGGUCUGGUCUGUAACUGACACUGAGGCGCGAAAGCGGGGGGAGAAAACAGGAUUAGAUACCCUGGUAGUCCACGCCGUAAACGAUGAGUGCUAAGUGUUGGGGGGUUUCCGCCCCUCAGUGCUGCAGCUAACGCAUUAAGCACUCCGCCUGGGGAGUACGGUCGCAAGACUGAAACUCAAAUGAAUUGACGGGG
RNAcentral lists this ribosomal RNA (397 nucleotides) under uncultured bacterium. Its description in RNAcentral is "partial 16S ribosomal RNA". It matches the Rfam family "Bacterial small subunit ribosomal RNA", at positions 523 to 918 of the family's 1533-position model. The record is from RNAcentral.